GCCGAGGUGGCGGAACCUGGUAGACGCGCUGCGCUCAGGACGCAGUGAGGAUUACCCCUCGUGCGGGUUCGAAUCCCGCCCUCGGCA
This 87-nucleotide transfer RNA is filed under the name Chloroflexota bacterium. RNAcentral's name for it is "Chloroflexi bacterium tRNA-Leu". It matches the Rfam family "tRNA". Rfam says of the family: Transfer RNA (tRNA) molecules are approximately 80 nucleotides in length. Lineage: Bacteria; Bacillati; Chloroflexota. The record is from RNAcentral.